This 496-nucleotide ribosomal RNA is filed under the name uncultured bacterium. Its description in RNAcentral is "partial 16S ribosomal RNA". It matches the Rfam family "Bacterial small subunit ribosomal RNA", at positions 28 to 506 of the family's 1533-position model. The record is from RNAcentral.
GACGAACGCUGGCGGCGUGCCUAAUACAUGCAAGUAGAACGCUGAAGAGGGGAGCUUGCUCUUCUUGGAUGAGUUGCGAACGGGUGAGUAACGCGUAGGUAACCUGCCUUGUAGCGGGGGAUAACUAUUGGAAACGAUAGCUAAUACCGCAUAACAAUGGAUGACACAUGUCAUUUAUUUGAAAGGGGCAAUUGCUCCACUACAAGAUGGACCUGCGUUGUAUUAGCUAGUAGGUGAGGUAAUGGCUCACCUAGGCGACGAUACAUAGCCGACCUGAGAGGGUGAUCGGCCACACUGGGACUGAGACACGGCCCAGACUCCUACGGGAGGCAGCAGUAGGGAAUCUUCGGCAAUGGGGGCAACCCUGACCGAGCAACGCCGCGUGAGUGAAGAAGGUUUUCGGAUCGUAAAGCUCUGUUGUAAGUCAAGAACGGGUGUGAGAGUGGAAAGUUCACACUGUGACGGUAGCUUACCAGAAAAGGACGGCUAACUACGU